RNAcentral lists this long non-coding RNA (1115 nucleotides) under Sarcophilus harrisii (Tasmanian devil). RNAcentral describes it as "lncRNA (ENSSHAG00000023732.1)". The record is from RNAcentral. Lineage: Eukaryota; Metazoa; Chordata; Mammalia; Dasyuromorphia; Dasyuridae.
GAGGGCGCGGUGUGGGUGGGUGGAUGUCAAGGGCAGCCCAGCUAGAGCUUGGCUCGCCACUGCAAGACAGAUCUCAGCAAUAAAUAAACAAAUAAAAACAAAAUAGUCACGAUAUCAGUCCUCUUCUAGAGCAUGGAAUGGCCAAAAAGGAACCUCAAAUCCUGGAUAGUCCCGGGGCAGGCAGUCUGGAAAGUAGAGGGAGCUGUCCGCUUUUACCCCCCCAGCAAACUGCAGCGGCAGCUGCUGGCCUCUUUCUCACUCCUGACUGUAUGGGAUGGGAUGGGGGGUGUAAGGAAGAGGAAGGAAGGAAGGAAGAGAACCUCAGACUGGGUUCUGGGGAUGGCUCUUUGGUGGGAUCUCACCAUAAACUGUCUUCUUUGGGAAAUGCACUUCUGCUUACUUUCUUUCCGGACAUGCUGGCCAGGUUGAUUCGCUUCGUGGAGGUGAGAAGCUGGAGUCAGCGGCCCUCGGUUCCACUCUCUCUCACCUCCUCGGCUCCCAGCCCCAGCCCCAGACCAUGCGCUCCACUUCGAAUACGAAUUUGGGGGUUCGCGGCUUCUCUCUUCGCUGCUGCUGUCCUCGCCAAAGAAAUACAGACAACUCCCGGGAUCCCGCAGUAGUCCUGAAGCUGGGCGCGGCGCCCAGUUCCGAGAAAUCUAAGCUUGGAGUUCCUCCUUUUCCCUCUCUCGCGCAGCCUUGUCGGGGACUUGCAACAACUAACUUCACCCAAGUUUCCCCUCCACCUCUGCGCCGGCGCCGCCAAAGAAGCUUGACUCUCGAUAGCUCUACUCCGUGCGUGUUUGUGUGAGUGUGUGCGCGUCUGGGUUGUACCUAUUCCUGGUCCUCACGGCCCGCUGGAACAAACUGAAAAGAUUUCAGGAUGCUCCCAAUCAGGUUUGUUGGUGUGAAAAAUACCUGCUAAAACAGUGAGUGAUCUUGGCAACAAUUUCUUCAGCAAACCAGCUUGGGCUGAAAAUAGGCAUCCUAUGCUCACGAUUCCCGGUGAAGUGGCAUUAAGAUACCAGCAAAUAUAAUUAUACAGAUUAAGAUAUUAGACAUACUGUUUAUAAUUCCUGGCUUUUUAUUCAGUUUAACUUAUUUAAAGUAAGUCUGAG